Molecule: ribosomal RNA, 515 nt
Filed under: uncultured Caryophanales bacterium
Lineage: Bacteria; Bacillati; Bacillota; Bacilli; Caryophanales
Description: uncultured Bacillales bacterium partial 16S ribosomal RNA
Source: RNAcentral
CACGUAGUUAGCCGGGGCUUUCUUCUCAAGUACCGUCACCCUCAGGGCAGUUUCUCCCCAAGGCGUUCUUCCUUGGCAACAGAGCUUUACGAUCCGAAAACCUUCUUCACUCACGCGGCGUUGCUCCGUCCAGACUUGCGUCCCAUUGCGGAAGAUUCCCUACUGCUGCCUCCCGUAGGAGUCUGGGCCGUGUCUCAGUCCCAGUGUGGCCGAUCACCCUCUCAGGUCGGCUACGCAUCGUCGCCUUGGUGAGCCGUUACCUCACCAACCAGCUAAUGCGCCGCAGGCCCAUCUGUAAGCCACAGCUUGCACCGUGUUUCUGAUCUCCCCAUGCGGGUAAACCCAUCUAUCCGCUCUUAGCUACCGUUUCCGGUAGUUAUCCCGGUCUUACAGGUCAGGUUGCCUACGUGUUACUCACCCGUCCGCCGCUAACUUACCCCGAAGGCUAAAUCCGCUCGACUUGCAUGUAUUACGGCACGCCGCCAGCGUGUCUCUGCGCGAGUCAACUACUCUAC